This 4273-nucleotide long non-coding RNA is filed under the name Panax ginseng (ginseng). Its description in RNAcentral is "long non-coding RNA (PGIN_LNC012703)". Lineage: Eukaryota; Viridiplantae; Streptophyta; Magnoliopsida; Apiales; Araliaceae. The record is from RNAcentral.
UCCUAGAUAAACUAUGCCGUCAAACUACAUAAAAUUAAAUUCUUAUCAAAAAUAAAAACAAAAGAAAAUACUUGGAUUUUUUUUUGCAGAUCAAAGUAGUUUUUUACUAUAAUUAUUCAUACACAACAAGGCCAGAGUGCCAUAAACUUUUGCUACAUGGACAUUAUUCAAGAUACUAAAGGUUAGCCUCAUAGUAAUAAUUAGCCAACCCUAGCACUCAUAACUAUUUUACAUAGAUAAUACUCCCAAAAGCAUUAAUUAAACAAGACAGUAGUCCAUUUUGUAGCCGUACCAUUUGUGCUAUAUUAUAGAAUUGGUCCUCGGAUCCGCAAUUUUCAUUUUAGAAGGUAGUGUUACGAAUUUGAGGCGGUAGUCAUCAGUAGCGUCAUCGGUAGGGCAAUCUACGAACCUUGUUGCUUGUUGGUUCAUGCAUACAUUAAUAUCCGUAAGCACAUAUUCUGAGUUUUCGUUUUUGGUGAAAUCGAUUUCUGGCACAGCAUUCAAGUGCUUUUUGAUUGCUUCUUUUAUCAUUUUAGGACGAUAAAGGUCGUUAUUCGGGUGAAUCCCUACACAUUUUUGAAUAGUAAUCUCAUCAAACUCACAUUAUCAUUUUACUUAGGAAGCAAUGAACCAAAUUAAAGACUAUUUAAUUAUAUAUGAAUGGGUAUGUUUACCUUCCUGGUUUAGUAGCCCAAUUAUAUCAAAUGCUUUUCUAAAAGCAAGCGCCGUUCUAAAAUAAUCAGUCUGCUUCAACAAUGCUUCUGAACACCUUCCAUGUUUCUUCCACUCGUAUUCCCAGAAUUGUACGUCCUCGGUGUUAGUUUCAUGACUCGGCCAUGCAAGAUGCAUUUCUGCUCGAAAGUCCGAUACCUUUAAUUUUCAAAAUGAAGGAGGAGAGAUAUUAGUUUAACAUAUGUGAGUAUGUAUGGAUAUAUUGCAUGUACACUUUCAAUUUUUUAUCAAACAAACUUAUGACUUAUCCAACUCUUCAAGAUAUAUAUAAAUGUUACCACAAAAAAAAAACAUAUUUAAUAGACAAUAGAGCAAGAAUUUUAAGUAGUAAAUUAAAUGCAGACCGAGAGAACUCACAGAGUUAACAUCAAAGGCAGUUCCGUCACAAUAUAACCCUGGGGUCCCCUUCUCGUUAUAGGGAUAAAGGCCGUGAAUGGUAAAUGUGUUGAGGAGAGACUUUGUAUCACAGGCAUUGUUGACCUCGCAAAAUCCAGCUGGCCAUUGAAGCCUUAGGGCAAACAUUGCCAAUGGAUAAUCUGAUCGAGCAUUCCCACCCCAAGAGAAAAUGCUCAAGCUCACUAUAAUGAUGCUGAUAAUAUAUAUUGCCCUCAUGAUCUCUUCAAACUUCAACAACUUUUUUCUUAAGAAAUGAAGUGUGUGUUUUCUGUGAUCUCUAGACUUCCAUGCAUACCCUUUUAUAGUCACCAGUUCUUUUUUAAUUAUAAUAAGAAAAAACUUAUAAAAUAUUUUUAUUUAUAUUUUUGAGUGUUAAUUUAUCCGUAAAGCUUUCUGGCAUGAAACCAUGGGCGGAACCGGGGGCACCAAAAUUCUGCACAUGCUAUAUAUUAAUAUAUAUAUAUAUAUAUAUAUAUAUUACUAGCAUACAUAUAUUAAUAGUCAAUAUAUUUAUAUAUACACACACACAUAUAUAUAUAUAUAUAUAUAUAUGUAUAAUAAUAGUAAUUUAUAAUAAUAGUCUAAAAUUUUUUACAUAUGCGCGCUCCAUAAAUUUAAAAUUAGAAUAAAUUUUAUUUUACAAUGAAAUUCAAAUAAAAGAACUUAAAACAUAAUCAAAUCUAGGUCGCUACUUGAGAUUGAGGAGUGAUCACAAAAACCAAGUUCUUUAUUUAUUAAAUUAUUUUUUUAUAAAUAUUUUAUAUUUUUAAACAUCAUAAAUUACUUCAGAGACUCUCCCCUCUGUUGAUUUUUUUCUAUAUUAAUUUUCUUUGUUCUAUAUAGAAAAUUGAUAUUUUCAUAUAAAAAAUAAUAUUUCUACAUGAAUCUCUCUCACGUAUUUCUACAUGAAAUAAAAAAAAUAUUUUUAUAUAAAUUUUGAUAUUGACCAAAAUUUUUGAGACGUUUUCAAACUAUGUUGAGUCACAGAAUACAAUUAUAUCUUCUCAAUCGUACAGUUGAAAGAAGCACUCCAAGUAUCAAUAAAUAUUUUUUUUUAUUAAUAUAUUUUGACUCCUUUUAAAAACAUUCUGAUUCUGCCAGUGAAACGUGUUGAAAAAUAUCCAUUGUAUGGUCACCUGUCACACUCUUAGCUGCUACUCCAUUGGUUUUUGUGAAACUUAAUUAGCUUUAACACAUAAAGCCAAUUAGGUUAAUUAAAUUACCCGCCUAUUCCACUUGGUUGCCUUUGUCUUCGUGGUACAGAAGUAGGUGUUAAUUGUAAUUUUUUUUAUAUUAAUUUUAAAGCUAUUAAGUAGUUUUUCGUACACUAACAUGGACAACAAAAAAAAUGACUUGAAUAUAUUUUUAAAAACUCAAGAGAGUUAUUGCUUAUAAAUAUAUGUUUAAACCUGUAAUUCAAUAAUGUGAUCCGCAUGUGACUAAUUUGAGUGAAAAAUUUUAUUUUUCUUUUUUAUCAAUAAAAUGAAAUUCAUUAAUACCCAAAACAUGAUUAUAAAAGAAACUCAAGUUAAACAUGAGCAGCUAAUACAGAAAUUCUAGGGGGACAUUUUUUUGUGACAUUGUUUAGCGACUUUUUUUUUUUGGUUUUUUUUUGUAGUACCUCUUAAAAAAUCUAUAGUAUUUAUUUCAACUAAAAUUUUUAUAAAAAACAGUGUUUUAGGUGUAAAUUGGAUACAUACAAGAAACAGGGUCUGUACAGUCUGUACAACCCUGUUUCUUGUAUAUAUCCAAUUUACACCUAAAAUAUUAUUUUUUACAAAAAUUUUAAUUAAAAUAAAUACUAUACAUUUUUUAAAAUGUACUACAAAAAAAAACCAAAAAAAAAAUGUCACUAAACAAUGUCACCCAAAAAUGUCGCCCUAGAACUACUCCAGCUAAUAACAUAAGUUCUAACAGACAAUGAAUGAUAAGACCCAAAUUACCUUCAAUCACACACUCAUGCAGAAAAAGGACAAUGACAGCGUUUUUUCUCAGCACCGUUUAAUGUGCGUAGAGCAGUAGUGUUUGGAUAAUGAUAAAUAAAACGACAAUAGAGAGAGAGAGAGAGAGAGAGAUUUUUUCGAUUAUUAACUUUUAAUGUGGGUAAAGUAGUAGUAUUUGGAGGUCCAAUGCCACAUUUUAUAUAUAAAAUUUGGACCCGAUUAUUAUGAAAAAUUUUAUGAUAAAUUAGUCAAUUAAUUAAUAAAAUACUGACACAUAGAUAGAGAUCACUUUUUGAUCUGUAUGUCGAUACUCGAUACUGUAUUAAUCAAUUGAUCAAAAUUAACUUCAUGCUAACUACUCCAUAAAAUUUAAACCCUUAAUAAUGUAUAAGUUAUAAAAUUAUUAAUUGUGUUUGGUUUGUUUAGAACUUACGGAGUACUAAUAGACCAAACCUUUUUCCUUCUAAUAUUUUUUUUUCCCUCCGAGCAACAUGAAAAAGUUUGCUAUAAUGAUGAAGUUAUUGCCGGUAGCUAACUACCGCCCUGACUUUGAGUGGUUGUAGAAUUAAUGGCUUAUCGAUCCCUUAUUGAAGAAGAAGAGAUACAAAUAAAAUUUUUUAAUAAAUUUUAUUAAUAAUAAAUAAAUUUAGAUGAAUACAUAGAUAAACUUGUAAGAAUAUUUUAUGAGAGAAUAUUAAUUAUAUUUAUAUAAAUUAGGCUAAUUGAUUGGUCUAAUUAAGUGUGAUAUAUGGACUCUAAUUAAGUCUAAUAUAGAUUGGCUAGUAUGAGUUAUUUAAAUAACAUUUUGGGCUUGUGAUAAGUAUAUAGUUCCACUAGCUAGGAUUGCUAAUCAUACUAAGAAGGUUAUUGAAGGUUUCUCAUCGAGCCAACAUUUAAGGCAUCAAGGGAGUAGUAUAUAAUUUGGUCAUUCAGAAAGAUCAAUUCUGUUGCGCUAGCUCAUUAUGGAUUUCAAAUAAGGUACACAAUAUUAUUAUUUUCUAUAUACCUAGGUCUGGAAUGGGUUAGUUUUGGUUUACAUAAUUUAGUUAUGAUUAUAUUUAAGAAUUAAAAUUACAAUACUUAUUUUUAAUAUGAAUUAUGUGGAUUAGAACUAUAUAAUUAUGAGUUAUGUGGGUUGAAAUUAUAUAGUUAUGAGUUAAAUAUAAAUAAACUCAUAUUUCAAUUUUCAAGCUUACCAUUAU